UCUUUAUAGUCAGCCUUCUGCUUGCCACAGUCAUAGUGGGCAGUCAGUGAAUCUUCCCCAAGUGCUGACAAUUAAUACCUGGUUUAGCGGCAAAGAUUCAGAGAGGCGUGAGCAGCCCCUCUGGCCUUCAGGUAAAGAUCCAUCAGCUCCCUCAGAGCCUCGUGCCUCUCCUCGGAAGGAAUUAACUCACAAACUGCAUCCACAGUCUCUUUGGUCAUGAGCUUCCUGGCAAAGUUGCCAUUCAUCCUCAUGAUUGGUUUGAGGUUCAUCUUCUUCCGGAGAUGCUUGUCCAGUGUGGCCUGCCACCUUUUCCUUUCCUCUUUGGAAGCAUUGGGAUUCUUAUACACUUCCCCUAUCUCUAGCUGGAAGAUCUUGUAGAACUCAGCUGCAUUGCCAAUGUCACAGUGGAGUGCAUCUAUGGAAGGGACUGUCUCAAUGAAAGGUUUAGCUGAGACCCCUUUCACCCGAUCCCGCAGUUCUUCCACAGACUCAUGGUAAGGGUUGGAACGCCAGACCUCAUAACGUUCCA
RNAcentral lists this small RNA (529 nucleotides) under Pan troglodytes (chimpanzee). Its description in RNAcentral is "processed transcript". The record is from RNAcentral. Lineage: Eukaryota; Metazoa; Chordata; Mammalia; Primates; Hominidae.